AAACUAACAAGGAUUCCCCUAGUAACUGCGAGUGAAGCGGGAAAAGCUCAAAUUUAAAAUCUGGUAGUCUUUGGCUGCCCGAGUUGUAAUCUAGAGAAGCAUUAUCCGCGCUGGACCGUGUAUAAGUCUCCUGGAAUGGAGCGUCAUAGAGGGUGAGAAUCCCGUCUUUAACAUGGACUACCAGGGCUUUGUGAUGUGCUCUCAAAGAGUCGAGUUGUUUGGGAAUGCAGCUCUAAAUGGGUGGUAAAUUCCAUCUAAAGCUAAAUAUUGGCGAGAGACCGAUAGCGAACAAGUACCGUGAGGGAAAGAUGAAAAGAACUUUGGAAAGAGAGUUAAACAGUACGUGAAAUUGUUGAAAGGGAAACGCUUGAAGUCAGUCGCGUUGAUCAGGAAUCAACCUUGCUUUUUUGCUUGGUGUAUUUCCUGGUUAACGGGUCAGCAUCAAUUUUGACCAGUGGAAAAAGGUCAGGGGAAUGUGGCAUCUUYGGAUGUGUUAUAGCCUCUGGUCAUAUACAUUGGUUGGGAUUGAGGAACUCAGCACGCCGCAAGGCCGGGUUUUUAACCACGUUCGUGCUUAGGAUGCUGGCAUAAUGGCUUUAAUCGAC
This 605-nucleotide ribosomal RNA is filed under the name Entoloma sp. RNAcentral describes it as "partial large subunit ribosomal RNA". Lineage: Eukaryota; Fungi; Basidiomycota; Agaricomycetes; Agaricales; Entolomataceae. The record is from RNAcentral.